AUUUCUUCUAAAUGAUUAAGAUCAAGUUUAUUAUUUGUUUUAAUCAGUUUAAUUUUUGAUAUGCAGGUCAAUGAUUCGUACAAUGUUAAAUUAAUUUUUUAAAGGGAGAGUUCAUAACAUUAGCUUGCUGCUAGAGAUUUCACAUGUUGUCUUUGAGUGUGUGACACAUCCUCU
Molecule: small nuclear RNA, 174 nt
Filed under: Malus domestica (apple)
Lineage: Eukaryota; Viridiplantae; Streptophyta; Magnoliopsida; Rosales; Rosaceae
Description: sRNA MD12G0110400
Rfam family: U2 spliceosomal RNA
About the family: U2 is a small nuclear RNA (snRNA) component of the spliceosome (involved in pre-mRNA splicing). Complementary binding between U2 snRNA (in an area lying towards the 5' end but 3' to hairpin I) and the branchpoint sequence (BPS) of the intron results the bulging out of an unpaired adenosine, on the BPS, which initiates a nucleophilic attack at the intronic 5' splice site, thus starting the first of two transesterification reactions that mediate splicing.
Source: RNAcentral